RNAcentral lists this long non-coding RNA (610 nucleotides) under Cyanistes caeruleus (blue tit). RNAcentral's name for it is "lncRNA (ENSCCEG00000003607.1)". The record is from RNAcentral. Lineage: Eukaryota; Metazoa; Chordata; Aves; Passeriformes; Paridae.
CUGGAACCCCGGGAUGCCCCCACCAGUACAAACCAGUACGGACCAGUUUGGGUCAGUUUGGACCAGUCUGAACCAUUUUGGGUCACUUUGGACCAGUUUGGACCAGUUUGGGCCACCUUGGACCACUUAGGAUCAGUUUGGCCCAGUUUGGCCCAGUACGGACCAGUUUGGCCCAGUUUGGCCCAGUUUGGACUCGCAAUUCCCAGUUCCCUGGGCCAGUUUGGACCAGUCCAGACCAGUUUGGACCCAGAAUUCCCAGUUCCCCUGGACCAGUCCAGACCAGUUUGGCCCAGUUUGGCCCAGUUGCCCUGGACCAGUUUGGCCCAGUUUGGACCCAGAAUUCCCAGUUCCCUGGACCAGUUUGGACCAGUUUGGACCAGUCCAGACCAGUCUGGACCAGUUUGGGCCCAGAAUUCCCAGUUCCCCUGGACCAGUCCGGACCAGUUUGGCCCAGUUUGGCCCAGUUUGGCCCAGUUCCCCUGGACCAAUCCAUUCCCAGUCCAUCCCAGUCCAUCCCAGUCCAUCCCAGUUACCGAACGCCAGGGGGGAGGGGGGGGCUGGGAUCAUUGGGAGCCCCCCCGGGACCGCCCAGGCCCCGCCCCCUUUAACA